Molecule: ribosomal RNA, 497 nt
Filed under: uncultured bacterium
Lineage: Bacteria
Description: partial 16S ribosomal RNA
Rfam family: Bacterial small subunit ribosomal RNA
Source: RNAcentral
GAUGAACGCUGGCGGCGUGCCUAAUACAUGCAAGUCGAGCGAACAGACGAGGAGCUUGCUCCUCUGACGUUAGCGGCGGACGGGUGAGUAACACGUGGAUAACCUACCUAUAAGACUGGGAUAACUUCGGGAAACCGGAGCUAAUACCGGAUAAUAUAUUGAACCGCAUGGUUCAAUAGUGAAAGACGGUUUUGCUGUCACUUAUAGAUGGAUCCGCGCCGCAUUAGCUAGUUGGUAAGGUAACGGCUUACCAAGGCGACGAUGCGUAGCCGACCUGAGAGGGUGAUAGGCCACACUGGAGCUGAGACACGGACCAGACUCCUACGGGAGGCAGCAGUAGGGAAUCUGACGCAAUGGGCGAAAGCCUGACGGAGCAACGCCGCGUGAGUGAUGAAGGUCUUCGGAUCGUAAAACUCUGUUAUGAGGGAAGAACAAAUGUGUAAGUAACUAUGCACGGCUUGACGGUACCUAAUCAGAAAGCCACGGCUAACUACGUG